Molecule: ribosomal RNA, 253 nt
Filed under: uncultured bacterium
Lineage: Bacteria
Description: partial 16S ribosomal RNA
Rfam family: Bacterial small subunit ribosomal RNA
Source: RNAcentral
UACAGAGGUCUCAAGCGUUGUUCGGAUUCAUUGGGCGUAAAGGGCGCGUAGGCUGCUAGGUAAGUCGGGUGUGAAAUCUCAGGGCUCAACCCUGAAACUGCACUCGAUACUGCUCUGCUUGAGGACUGGAGAGGAGACUGGAAUUCACGGUGUAGCAGUGAAAUGCGUAGAUAUCGUGAGGAAGACCAGUGGCGAAGGCGGGUCUCUGGACAGUUCCUGACGCUGAGGCGCGAAGGCCAGGGGAGCAAACGGG